UUCGAGCGUCAGUACAACACUCAAGCCUAGCUUGGUCUUGGGCCUCGCCGGAAACGGCGGGCCUUAAAAGUAGUGGCGGCGCCCGCUGGGCUCUAAGCGUAGUAAUACUCCUCGCUAUAGGGACCCGGUGGAUGCUGGCCAGCAACCCCCAACUUUCUAAGUUUGACCUCGGAUCAGGUAGGGAUACCCGCUGAACUUAA
This 200-nucleotide unclassified non-coding RNA is filed under the name soil metagenome. RNAcentral describes it as "partial contains internal transcribed spacer 2 and large subunit ribosomal RNA". The record is from RNAcentral.